This 468-nucleotide ribosomal RNA is filed under the name uncultured bacterium. RNAcentral describes it as "partial 16S ribosomal RNA". It matches the Rfam family "Bacterial small subunit ribosomal RNA", at positions 28 to 507 of the family's 1533-position model. The record is from RNAcentral.
GACGAACGCUGGCGGCGUGCUUAACACAUGCAAGUCGAACGGAAAGGCCCUGCUUUUGUGGGGUGCUCGAGUGGCGAACGGGUGAGUAACACGUGAGUAACCUGCCCUUGACUUUGGGAUAACUUCAGGAAACUGGGGCUAAUACCGGAUAGGAGCUCCUGCUGCAUGGUGGGGGUUGGAAAGUUUCGGCGGUUGGGGAUGGAUUCGCGGCUUAUCAGCUUGUUGGUGGGGUAGUGGCUUACCAAGGCUUUGACGGGUAGCCGGCCUGAGAGGGUGACCGGCCACAUUGGGACUGAGAUACGGCCCAGACUCCUACGGGAGGCAGCAGUGGGGAGUAUGGCACAAUGGGCGGAAGCCUGAUGCAGCAACGCCGCGUGCGGGAUGACGGCCUUCGGGUUGUAAACCGCUUUCGCCUGUGACGAAGCGUGAGUGACGGUAAUGGGUAAAGAAGCACCGGCUAACUACGUG